GCCCGGAUGGUCUAGUGGUAAGCAGCCCUCAAAUCAAUGAUCUGUCUUGGCUUUCAGUGUCUAACUAAAUAAUAGGUAUGAUUCUCGCUUUGGGUGCGAGAGGCCCCGCGUUCGAAUCGCGGUUCGGGCC
This 130-nucleotide transfer RNA is filed under the name Aspergillus tubingensis. Its description in RNAcentral is "tRNA-Pro". It matches the Rfam family "tRNA". Rfam says of the family: Transfer RNA (tRNA) molecules are approximately 80 nucleotides in length. Their secondary structure includes four short double-helical elements and three loops (D, anti-codon, and T loops). Lineage: Eukaryota; Fungi; Ascomycota; Eurotiomycetes; Eurotiales; Aspergillaceae. The record is from RNAcentral.